GACGAACGCUGGCGGCGUGCUUAACACAUGCAAGUCGAACGGAAAGGCCCUGCUUUUGUGGGGUGCUCGAGUGGCGAACGGGUGAGUAACACGUGAGUAACCUGCCCUUGACUUUGGGAUAACUUCAGGAAACUGGGGCUAAUACCGGAUAGGAGCUCCUGCUGCAUGGUGGGGGUUGGAAAGUUUCGGCGGUUGGGGAUGGACUCGCGGCUUAUCAGCUUGUUGGUGGGGUAGUGGCUUACCAAGGCUUUGACGGGUAGCCGGCCUGAGAGGGUGACCGGCCACAUUGGGACUGAGAUACGGCCCAGACUCCUACGGGAGGCAGCAGUGGGGAAUAUUGCACAAUGGGCGGAAGCCUGAUGCAGCAACGCCGCGUGCGGGAUGACGGCCUUCGGGUUGUAAACCGCUUUCGCCUGUGACGAAGCGUGAGUGACGGUAAUGGGUAAAGAAGCACCGGCUAACUACGUGCCAGCAGCCGCGGUGAUACGUAGGGUGCGAGCGUUGUCCGGAUUUAUUGGGCGUAGAGGGCUCGUAGGUGGUUGAUCGCGUCGGAAGUGUAAUCUUGGGGCUUAACCCUGAGCGUGCUUUCGAUACGGGUUGACUUGAGGAAGGUAGGGGAGAAUGGAGUUCCUGGUGGAGCGGUGGAAUGCGCAGAUAUCAGGAGGAACACCAGUGGCGAAGGCGGUUCUCUGGGCCUUUCCUGACGCUGAGGAGCGAAAGCGUGGGGAGCGAACAGGCUUAGAUACCCUGGUAGUCCACGCUGUAAACGGUGGGUACUAGGUGUGGGGUCCAUUCCACGGGUUCCGUGCCGUAGCUAACGCUUUAAGUACCCCGCCUGGGGAGUACGGCCGCAAGGCUAAAACUCAAAGGAAUUGACGGGGCCCCGCACAAGCGGCGGAGCAUGCGGAUUAAUUCGAUGCAACGCGUAGAACCUUACCUGGGUUUGACAUGGAUCGGGAGUGCUCAGAGAUGGGUGUGCCUCUUUUGGGGUCGGUUCACAGGUGGUGCAUGCCUGUCGUCAGCUCGUGUCGUGAGAUGUUGGGUUAAGUCCCGCAACGAGCGCAACCCUUGUUCACUGUUGCCAGCACGUUAUGGUGGGGACUCAGUGGAGACCGCCGGGGUCAACUCGGAGGAAGGUGGGGAUGACGUCAAGUCAUCAUGCCCCUUAUGUCCAGGGCUUCACGCAUGCUACAAUGGCUGGUACAGAGAGUGGCGAGCCUGUGAGGGUGAGCGAAUCUCGGAAAGCCGGUCUCAGUUCGGAUUGGGGUCUGCAACUCGACCUCAUGAAGUCGGAGUCGCUAGUAAUCGCAGAUCAGCAACGCUGCGGUGAAUACGUUCCCGGGGCU
Molecule: ribosomal RNA, 1346 nt
Filed under: uncultured bacterium
Lineage: Bacteria
Description: partial 16S ribosomal RNA
Rfam family: Bacterial small subunit ribosomal RNA
Source: RNAcentral